GACAGAGGGUGCAAACGUUGUUCGGAGUUACUGGGCGUAAAGCGUGUGUAGGUGGCUGCGUAAGUCGGAUGUGAAAGCCCUGGGCUCAACUCAGGAAGUGCACUCGAUACUGCGUAGCUCGAGUACCGGAGAGGUUGGUAGAAUUCUCGGUGUAGAGGUGAAAUUCGUAGAUAUCGAGAGGAAUACCUGUGGCGAAGGCGGCCAACUGGACGAGUACUGACACUGAGGCACGAAAGCGUGGGAUCGAACAGG
RNAcentral lists this ribosomal RNA (252 nucleotides) under uncultured bacterium. Its description in RNAcentral is "partial 16S ribosomal RNA". It matches the Rfam family "Bacterial small subunit ribosomal RNA", at positions 524 to 776 of the family's 1533-position model. The record is from RNAcentral.